Molecule: long non-coding RNA, 581 nt
Filed under: Pan troglodytes (chimpanzee)
Lineage: Eukaryota; Metazoa; Chordata; Mammalia; Primates; Hominidae
Description: lincRNA
Source: RNAcentral
CUUUUCUCCUGUGUUCUGUCUGAUGGUGGCACCAAUGAGCAACGGAAUAACCAAAAGGCACCUGGCAAAAAGCUCUAGGCAUUCUAACUCUAAAAGGACUGAUGAAGACGCUUUUCUGACUACAGACAGAAGGACUCCCCGUUACUGAAUGUUUUUAAUGUACCAUCUGCAUUAUAUAAAUUGUCCCAUUAAUCCUCCAAACCAUUCUAAGAGGACAGGUUUUGCCUUAAGUUAUCCAGAUGUUGCAUGGUGAGGUGAAGGAUUCCAACAGUUUUGUUCGUUGAGAAAAGCAGAAUCCUUUUGUUUUUCAUUAACAAUGAGAAUGAAUUUUCCUAUUCCAUCAAGAUUUCUAUGUGGCCAUCUCUUCAGGACAUAGGUAUCAGCUACCGUUUUAAAUUUAGGAAAUGCACACACAUAUGCAACCAACCACAUAAUGUUUCCAAAGCAAUAUAUUGAGAUUGAUACAAAUACACAUUUUUCAAGAAUCCUGGACUAAUCCCACACUACUCUGAGCCUUCUUUACUUUUUAAGCCUCUUUAUUUCUAUUAUAUGACUGUGAACUAAGUAGAUUUAACUUUUGU